RNAcentral lists this ribosomal RNA (564 nucleotides) under uncultured cyanobacterium. RNAcentral's name for it is "bacterial SSU rRNA". It matches the Rfam family "Bacterial small subunit ribosomal RNA", at positions 338 to 916 of the family's 1533-position model. Lineage: Bacteria; Bacillati; Cyanobacteriota. The record is from RNAcentral.
CCUACGGGAGGCAGCAGUGGGGAAUUUUCCGCAAUGGGCGAAAGCCUGACGGAGCAACGCCGCGUGAGGGAUGAAGGCCUCUGGGCUGUAAACCUCUUUUAUCAAGGAAGAAGAUCUGACGGUACUUGAUGAAUAAGCCACGGCUAAUUCCGUGCCAGCAGCCGCGGUAAUACGGGAGUGGCAAGCGUUAUCCGGAAUUAUUGGGCGUAAAGCGUCCGCAGGCGGCCCUUCAAGUCUGCUGUUAAAAAGUGGAGCUUAACUCCAUCAUGGCAGUGGAAACUGUUGGGCUUGAGUGUGGUAGGGGCAGAGGGAAUUCCCGGUGUAGCGGUGAAAUGCGUAGAUAUCGGGAAGAACACCAGUGGCGAAGGCGCUCUGCUGGGCCAUCACUGACGCUCAUGGACGAAAGCCAGGGGAGCGAAAGGGAUUAGAUACCCCUGUAGUCCUGGCCGUAAACGAUGAACACUAGGUGUCGGGGGAAUCGACCCCUCCGGUGUCGUAGCCAACGCGUUAAGUGUUCCGCCUGGGGAGUACGCACGCAAGUGUGAAACUCAAAGGAAUUGACGG